Molecule: long non-coding RNA, 305 nt
Filed under: Salvia miltiorrhiza (redroot sage)
Lineage: Eukaryota; Viridiplantae; Streptophyta; Magnoliopsida; Lamiales; Lamiaceae
Description: long non-coding RNA (SMIL_LNC001498)
Source: RNAcentral
UAGUUUGCUUUCUUGUGCUCUCAAGGGUUUUUUGGUCUUUUUUCUCUUUCUUUUAUUUUAAGCCAUAUUUAAUAAUAAUCUGUCAUGUGCUUUCAAUGAUUUUUUUUGUUGGUUAUUUUUACUUUUUUAUUUUAUAAAAUCUUGAUUCAUCGAGUAUUAUACUCCGUCAUUCCCAUUGAUAAUGGUUCAUUACUAUUCGGCACGGCUAUUAAGAAAAAAGAGUAAUUAAAAGAUAAAAAUGAUAGAAAGUGGUAGAGCCUUCAACUUUUUGUGAGACAAGGUGAUUUUCUUUUUUGAAAUAGGCC